UACUUAGAAGACUCCUUGGUAGACCUAAAAAGCAGAGGAGGAGAGAUCCAAAGGAGACUAAGAAUCUAUGUAGGUGGUCUAACAUGGGGAGAACAAUGACUUGCUUUUAAGUGUCAUAUGGUUGGUUAUAACAAAAGCACAUGCAAAGUCCAACUACAGCUGCUAUUAGUAGCUAAGAGAGGAAGAAGAACCAAGGUACAAGUAAUG
This 207-nucleotide long non-coding RNA is filed under the name Elaeis guineensis (African oil palm). Its description in RNAcentral is "long non-coding RNA (EGUI_LNC039068)". The record is from RNAcentral. Lineage: Eukaryota; Viridiplantae; Streptophyta; Magnoliopsida; Arecales; Arecaceae.